RNAcentral lists this ribosomal RNA (481 nucleotides) under uncultured bacterium. Its description in RNAcentral is "partial 16S ribosomal RNA". It matches the Rfam family "Bacterial small subunit ribosomal RNA", at positions 28 to 507 of the family's 1533-position model. The record is from RNAcentral.
GAUGAACGCUGGCGGCGUGCUUAACACAUGCAAGUCGAACGAAGCACUUUAUUUGAUUUCCUUCGGGACUGAUUAUUUUGUGACUGAGUGGCGGACGGGUGAGUAACGCGUGGGUAACCUGCCUUGUACAGGGGGAUAACAGUUGGAAACGGCUGCUAAUACCGCAUAAGCGCACAGCAUCGCAUGAUGCAGUGUGAAAAACUCCGGUGGUAUAAGAUGGACCCGCGUUGGAUUAGCUAGUUGGUGAGGUAACGGCCCACCAAGGCGACGAUCCAUAGCCGAGCUGAGAGGGUGGCCGGCCACACUGGGACUGAGACACGGCCCAAACUACUACGGGAGGCAGCAGUGGGGAAUAUUGCACAAUGGGCGAAAGCAUGAUGCAGCGACGCCGCGUGAGCGAAGAAGUAUUGAGGUAUGUAAAGCUCUAUCAGCAGGGAAGAUAAUGACGGUACCUGACUAAGAAGCACCGGCUAAAUACGUG